GCAGUCGACGAGACUUCGGGUCUAGUGGCGCACGGGUGCGUAACGCGUGGGAAUCUGCCCUUAGGUACGGAAUAACAGUGAGAAAUUACUGCUAAUACCGUAUGAUGUCGAGAGACCAAAGAUUUAUCGCCUAGGGAUGAGCCCGCGUAGGAUUAGCUAGUUGGUGGGGUAAAGGCCUACCAAGGCUACGAUCCUUAGCUGGUCUGAGAGGAUGAUCAGCCACACUGGGACUGAGACACGGCCCAGACUCCUACGGGAGGCAGCAGUGGGGAAUAUUGGACAAUGGGCGAAAGCCUGAUCCAGCAAUGCCGCGUGAGUGAAGAAGGCCUUCGGGUUGUAAAGCUCUUUUACCCGGGAAGAUAAUGACUGUACCGGGAGAAUAAGCUCCGGCUAACUCCGUGCCAGCAGCCGCGGUAAUACGGAGGGAGCUAGCGUUGUUCGGAAUUACUGGGCGUAAAGCGUACGUAGGCGGCUUUGUAAGUCAGAGGUGAAAGCCCACGACUCAAUCGUGGAACUGCCUUUGAGACUGCUUCGCUUGAAGAUGGGAGAGGUUAGUGGAAUUCCGAGUGUAGAGGUGAAAUUCGUAGAUAUUCGGAAGAACACCAGUGGCGAAGGCGGCUAACUGGACCAUUCUUGACGCUGAGGUACGAAAGCGUGGGGAGCAAACAGGAUUAGAUACCCCUGGUA
RNAcentral lists this ribosomal RNA (687 nucleotides) under uncultured bacterium. RNAcentral's name for it is "bacterial SSU rRNA". It matches the Rfam family "Bacterial small subunit ribosomal RNA", at positions 57 to 792 of the family's 1533-position model. The record is from RNAcentral.